GAGUCCCCGGCCUCUCCGGGCCUACGGAAGCACCGGGCGUCCGCGGCGAAGCCGGCCGUGGAAGGCCCUCAGAGCGCGGCCUACGCACGCAAACCCGACGCCUGGGAUCCAGAGGAGACCCGGAGGACUAACCGCGUCCCCUGGGCCUGCGCUAAGGCUUCGGCGAGGCGCGCUGCGGGGCCGGGAGGCCAUUUUGAGAGCGAACGAGCGGCGGCAAGAUGGCUGCGUGGGCACGAGGACAUGCUCCAGGGUGGGUCGAAAGAAGAGAAAAGAGAAAAGACAGCUUGCUGAUGAAUAAAAAGCCCUCUCUCCUCAGACAUGGUGGGAUGUACUCUGAUCUAGAGCAGGAAGCUGGCCAGAGAUCCACCAGGAGCUUGGCCUCAGAUGACCUUGAGGAGAAAGAUUGUCCUGUGAAGGGAAGUGAUGAGAUAGGCUCUGAUCAGCUUUUCUGGGAACAGACAGAGAAGUGGUAACUCUUGCCAAAGUCACAGGAUGAAUACAGAGCCAAGAACCUGAACCAGAAAAAUCCAGCAGAAAAGGAAAACUCAAUAGCCAUCAUCCUGCGGCUGCUGUACAAGGAGCAAUCCUGCCACCAGGGACUUGGCAGGAGACCAGGGGACUCGCUCCACACCCUCCUAGAGGGAGGGCCUUUGUCACUCACCUGCUUGCCCAGGAUCACCUUCAUUCCUGCUUGUGCCACACCUUUUCAGGCCUGUUCUGGGCGUGAUGUGCUGUAGAACACUCUGUUCAGGCACUUGGGAAACGGAAACUUCAUCACCAGCGUUUCCACCCCAGAGAACUAGGCGGCACACUGGGAAGUUGCCAAAGGAAGGGACUUCAGCCUCCCAGGAGUUAACAACAUUUCUCCCCAGCUGUCCUCCACUUGGUGCUCCUUUUCCUCCCUCCUCCUGCUCACAGCAGGCAGGGCCUGGAACCAGGAGCCAUGCUGCUGUGCUGUUGCCAGGGGAGCUGGGAGGCAGAUCGGAGCUAUGCAGGGAAAAGGCUCGGCCUGUCAAAGUGUCUGAGAUGAACCACCGCCAUCCCUGUGCAGCUGGGCUCGAUGUGUCUCAAGGCUCUUGUUCUGUGCCUGAGAACGGUGAAACCUAGUGAGGUUCAAGGGCACACUCAAUAGUCAUCAGUCAGGGGUUCUUGACGGUCCUGCCUCUCCCAGGGAUGGGUUCCCCCCUUCCUCUUUCUCUCCCUCCUAUGGCACAUUCCUGGGUGCCUGUGGUGAAAACUGCACACCCCCUCCUCCACAGCCCCCACCCCCUAAGCCAGCUCCUACUAAGAAGGCCAGGCAGGACAGAGACAAUGGCUUCCAGAAACCAUUCAGGCGGGACCGGCCACAUGCGCCUGCCCUUCACUCCCAGUGCCCAUGUAGAUCCCACUCUGCCGUGAUUCAGAGCACCCUUGGGCCCCCAGCUUGCACAUGCCUAGACAGGAGCAGGCCACUAGGCGCUGCCCUACACAACAGGCCAGUGCAGUGUUGUUCUCAGAGGGUCCCUUGGUGCCUCCAUCCCAACUGGCUGGAUAUUUUUGUGCAGUUGCUUGGAAAGUAGAAACUGCACAAUAUUUUCUGAAAUGCAGUAAUAUCAAAAUAUAAAAGGCACAUAUACUUGAUGCUAAUUUCACUCCAGAUAUACUGGAAAAGUUUGCUAAGAAGCAUGGACAAAGACCUAUGUUUGACGUGAUGAGUCGUUUCAGUCUAUGGAAUACUACACAGUUGUAAGGCUGUGGUGGAUCUCUGCAUGCGGGUUGAUAGGGCAGGUUGCCAAUAUACUUAAGUGAAUAGAAUAAAGUACAAAACAGUCAAGUGUGUUCUUGUUUGUAUAUACUUAAAGGUCAGUCACAGUGCCGGGUAAAAUGCACACAGCAUACAAGAAAGAGGCCUAGAGCCAAAUAAAACUGUAUCAGCCAUAAGUCUGUCUGUCUGGAUGGUCCUGGAAGCAAGCACUGCACAGCAGCCUCCAGGAAGCAGGAGGCAUUUCUUCCUGUGUUUUUGUGUUUAUUUUCUCUCUGCAUUUGUGAAACGCUUUUAUUGAAAAAGGAAAGGGUAGUCAUCACUUAAUAGGUGUAACUUCUCUCAGCCAGUGAAGGGUGUGCACUCCGAGACAAGGUGGUGAUGUGGCAGAGAAGUGUCUUGACAGUACUGAUGGCCUCUGGUCACUGGCGAUUCUCCAGCCACAUGUCAUCAUCAUGGCUGCCACUGUUAAUCAAAAGCCCACUUAGUUCCAGGGUUGGUUCUCUGGUUCUUGCUUAGGUAAAUGUCAUAUUAUUUCAGUCUAACCUAUGCAGGAGAUUGAAUGGAGAAAUCAGUGGGUUUCUCCACACUGCUUGGCAAGUGAGGGGCAGUCAGUAUCCUAGAGUGGGUAAGGCAAGUGUGGGCUCUGACUUCCCUCUGGGAGGACCUGUUUUGAGGAGGGAGGCUUGUGGGUUGUGUUGAUUAUGAGUGGGCACCCCUACUUGCUUUAGCCCAAUGGAGGUGCCCUGCUGGGGACAGACUGGCUUCAGGAGUAGACUAGCUCUGAUAGGCUCUAUCUGGAUAGACACAGCAUGUGUCCAGAGAGAUACCAGGAGACUUUGCUGCUCCUAGUGCUAAUCAAAAGCCUGGUUUUGUCCCCAAAGGAGUAAAUUGCUACAGGGCAUCUGGAAAGGGCCAUGUGAGCUGAGCAUUGAGUCUUGGAACCAGCAUAAGUUCAGGCACGCAUGCCACGGAGCUCUGCAUUGGGUCCUGAGGCCUGGGAGUGGGCAAGGAAAAAUCCACAGUAGAGUUGACCAGAGAAACCUGGGAGACCCACAGAUGUCCCUGGACUUGGAUGGCAGCUUUAGAAGUCAGGAGAAAAGCAACUAGGGAUGGGGCUGUCACCAGGUCUCUUUUUUUGGUGCAGUCUUAAUUUUAUACAGAGGGAACACUGGUACGCUCAUUUUACAGAUGACAUUGAAGUUCAGAAAUGUUGCUACAUGUCCCAAGUCACAGCUAAAAAGUGCCAGAACUGAGAUUUAACACCUAUCCCAUUGGCUGCAGUUUGGAUUCCUAACCGCAAGUAUAUAUCCUUUUUGGCUGGGCCACUUCAAAGAGGUCGCAUAAGCCCCAGCCCUUCUUGGCCAGUCCCAUACAUUGAGACAUUAACUUCUGCCUUUGAGAUUCCCUCAAUAUCUUGCUUAGGGCCUUCCCUCUACCUAAUCUCAUCUCACGAGUAUACUAAGCUUUGGAGCCUGGGCCUAGAGCUGGAGAAGAAAUUCAAAACCAUAUACAGACUGGGGCCUUCAGUUAGGAUUGCUAUUGGGCACCCGUGCUGUUUGCCUCCUGGAGUCUGGGCGACACUGUGCACAGGCUGCAUCUUCCUUCAGGUCCUUGGCCUGAAAGCCUGAUGGGAAGGUCAAGGAUGCUCCAGGACCUGGGCCCUUGCUUCUCAGAGGUGGACUGCCUGAGGCUCAAGCCUGAGGCUGGAGGAGCAGGCAUGGGAGAGCAAAAGGAACAGCCAGGCUUAGAAAUUGUUGGAACUCUUCCGACUUAUUUCAGGACAACCCUGAGGGAUGAUUAAGACAAAUUCUGAGAGAAAGAACUCUUCUGACCCUGGGAAACCUCUGCCUCUUUUUACUCCAGCUCACAACUAAUAAAAGUU
Molecule: non-coding RNA, 3626 nt
Organism: Arvicanthis niloticus (Nile rat)
Lineage: Eukaryota; Metazoa; Chordata; Mammalia; Rodentia; Muridae
Source: RefSeq, a predicted model, not a curated record